RNAcentral lists this ribosomal RNA (467 nucleotides) under uncultured bacterium. RNAcentral describes it as "partial 16S ribosomal RNA". It matches the Rfam family "Bacterial small subunit ribosomal RNA", at positions 29 to 507 of the family's 1533-position model. The record is from RNAcentral.
ACGCACGCUGGCGGCGUGCUUAACCCCUGCAAGUCGAACGGAAAGGCCCUGCUUUUGUGGGGUGCUCGAGUGGCGAACGGGUGAGUAACACGUGAGUAACCUGCCCUUGACUUUGGGAUAACUUCAGGAAACUGGGGCUAAUACCGGAUAGGAGCUCCUGCUGCAUGGUGGGGGUUGGAAAGUUUCGGCGGUUGGGGAUGGACUCGCGGCUUAUCAGCUUGUUGGUGGGGUAGUGGCAUACCAAGGCUUUGACGGGUAGCCGGCCUGAGAGGGUGACCGGCCACAUUGGGACUGAGAUACGGCCCAGACUCCUACGGGAGGCAGCAGUGGGGAAUAUUGCACAAUGGGCGGAAGCCUGAUGCAGCAACGCCGCGUGCGGGAUGACGGCCUUCGGGUUGUAAACCGCUUUCGCCUGUGACGAAGCGUGAGUGACGGUAAUGGGUAAAGAAGCACCGGCUAACUACGUG